This 301-nucleotide ribosomal RNA is filed under the name uncultured bacterium. RNAcentral's name for it is "partial 16S ribosomal RNA". It matches the Rfam family "Bacterial small subunit ribosomal RNA", at positions 509 to 807 of the family's 1533-position model. The record is from RNAcentral.
CAGUAGCCGCGGGAAUACAGAGGGUGCGAGCGUUAAUCGGAUUUACUGGGCGUAAAGCGUGCGUAGGCGGCUUCUUAAGUCGGAUGUGAAAUCCCUGAGCUUAACUUAGGAAUUGCAUUCGAUACUGGGAAGCUAGAGUUUGGGAGAGGAUGGUAGAAUUCCAGGUGUAGCGGUGAAAUGCGUAGAGAUCUGGAGGAAUACCGAUGGCGAAGGCAGCCAUCUGGCCUAAUACUGACGCUGAGGUACGAAAGCAUGGGGAGCAAACAGGAUUAGAGACCCGAGUAGUCCCUGUCUCUUAUAC